RNAcentral lists this ribosomal RNA (227 nucleotides) under Corynebacterium sp. cp10.09. RNAcentral describes it as "partial 16S ribosomal RNA". It matches the Rfam family "Bacterial small subunit ribosomal RNA", at positions 373 to 594 of the family's 1533-position model. The record is from RNAcentral. Lineage: Bacteria; Bacillati; Actinomycetota; Actinomycetes; Mycobacteriales; Corynebacteriaceae.
GGGCGCAAGCCUGAUGCAGCGACGCCGCGUGGGGGAUGACGGCCUUCGGGUUGUAAACUCCUUUCGCUUAUGACGAAGCUGUCUUUUUUUUAAAAAGGUGGUGACGGUAGUUUGAGAAGAGGCACCGGCUAACUACGUGCCAGCAGCCGCGGUAAUACGUAGGGUGCGAGCGUUGUCCGGAAUUACUGGGCGUAAACAGCUCAGUAUGUGGUUUGUUGCAUCGUCUG